GAUGAACGCUAGCGGCAGGCCUAACACAUGCAAGUCGAGGGAUAAGCCUUCGGGCUGAAACCGGCGCACGGGUGCGUAACGCGUAUACAAUCUGCCUUUCACAUAGGGAUAGCCCGGAGAAAUUUGGAUUAAUACCUAAUGUUAUAUAAGAGUGGCAUCAUUUUUAUAUUAAAGCUUUGGUGGUGAAAGAUGAGUAUGCGUUCUAUUAGCUAGUUGGAGAGGUAACGGCUCCCCAAGGCGACGAUAGAUAGGGGUUCUGAGAGGGAUGUCCCCCACACUGGUACUGAGAUACGGACCAGACUCCUACGGGAGGCAGCAGUGAGGAAUAUUGGACAAUGGUCGGAAGACUGAUCCAGCCAUGCCGCGUGCAGGACGACGGUCCUAUGGAUUGUAAACUGCUUUUGUAAGGGAAGAAUAAGGAGUACGUGUACUUUGAUGACGGUACCUUACGAAUAAGCAUCGGCUAACUCCGUG
This 474-nucleotide ribosomal RNA is filed under the name uncultured bacterium. RNAcentral's name for it is "partial 16S ribosomal RNA". It matches the Rfam family "Bacterial small subunit ribosomal RNA", at positions 28 to 507 of the family's 1533-position model. The record is from RNAcentral.